Molecule: ribosomal RNA, 433 nt
Filed under: uncultured eukaryote
Lineage: Eukaryota
Description: SSU rRNA
Rfam family: Eukaryotic small subunit ribosomal RNA
Source: RNAcentral
CCAGCAGCUGCGGUAAUUCCAGCUCCAAUAGCGUAUAUUAAAGUUGUUGCAGUUAAAAAGCUCGUAGUCUGACCCUUGGCCGGCGUUUUGAGCGUCCGUGGCGAAAGCCACGCGCAUGCGACGCGCUGUUGCCACGUACUUUGGAGGAGCGGGUUGGGGGGGCUUGUCUUUCCCUUCUCGCGAUUCCAAUAGUUUACUUUGAGAAAAAUAGAGUGUUCAAAGCAGGCAUUUUUUGCCUUGAAUACAUUAGCAUGGGAUAAUGAAAUAGGACAUUGGUUCUAUUUUGUUGGUUUUAAGGACCGAUGUAAUGAUUAAUAGGGACAGUUGGGGACAUUCAUAUUCCAUGGCUAGAGGUGAAAUUCUUAGAUUCAUGGAAGAUGAACUACUGCGAAAGCAUUUGUCAAAGAUGUUUUCAUUGAUCAAGAACGAAAGU